This 387-nucleotide unclassified non-coding RNA is filed under the name soil metagenome. RNAcentral describes it as "partial contains 5.8S ribosomal RNA, internal transcribed spacer 2, and large subunit ribosomal RNA". The stretch from base 1 to 120 matches the Rfam family "5.8S ribosomal RNA", at positions 35 to 154 of the family's 154-position model. The record is from RNAcentral.
GAUGAAGAACGCAGCGAAAUGCGAUAAGUAAUGUGAAUUGCAGAAUUCAGUGAAUCAUCGAAUCUUUGAACGCACCUUGCACCCUUUGGCAUUCCGAAGGGUAUGCUCGUUUGAGUGUCAUUGUACUCUGACACUCUCCGAUCCUAUGGAUUCGGGGAGCGGUGGACUUGGGUGUUGCUGCCUUUCCUUGUGGCUCACCUCAAAUGUGUCAGUGCACCUCUUGGUUGGACAUAGUACGGCGUGAUAAGUGUCUUCGCCGGCACCUCGCAAGAGGGUGGCCGAUCGGGAGCUCUGUGCUUUCAAACCGUCUUCGGACAAUUUCUGACAACUUGACCUCAAAUCGAGUAGGACUACCCGCUGAACUUAAGCAUAUCAAUAAGCGGAGGA